CCAUAAACGAUAUGAUUUGAAAUUUUGUUGGAAAGACGUACAAAAAGAAAAAACCAAAGACAAAGACGUCACACCUUGUUAUAUAUCAUCAUCAUUUCACAAGCUUCACUUCCACGUCUCUUUUUCCCUAACCUUACCAAGUUUUGUUUUUCUUUCAUUUUAGUCCCUUCAUUUUCAAUCCUUUCCCAAACUUAAACAUUUCUUCCUUAAUUGUUAGCAAAAUUAAGAGUAUAACUCCAUAGUAAGCUUAUCAUCUUGCAAAGCUAGUUAAUAGCCAUUUUAGGAGGAGAAAGAAAAAUGAAGAAAGUUAGGGAUUUAAGAUGUGUUGUGUAAUGAAGAGAAGGAGAAGAAGAGUGAAUAUCAAGUGGGUGAGAAGGGUAAGGAGAUAGCAAACAAGUGAAGAAAGAAAGAAGGGGUACUUCAUUUCAAGCAAUUUUUAUUGUAAGUAUUUCAAGAAUUUAUUUUACUUGAUUUAAACCCUAUUUAAAAACAUGAUAAAUUGGUUAAGUAACGUUCAUGUAAUAUGUUUUGUUGUUAAAAAAAUAUGUUGUAUUUUGGAAAUUAUUUCAAAAUAAAACAGUAUUAAUAUAAUGCAUUGAAA
Long non-coding RNA from Gossypium arboreum, 601 nucleotides. RefSeq lists it as uncharacterized. The transcript has 2 exons. NCBI's taxonomy places the organism in Eukaryota, Viridiplantae, Streptophyta, Magnoliopsida, Malvales, Malvaceae. The record is from RefSeq and is a predicted model, not a curated record.